CAAUAGCGUAUAUUAAAGUUGUUGCGGUUAAAAAGCUCGUAGUUGGAUUUCUGUUGGGAACGACCGGUCCGCCCAUUGGGUGUGUAUCUGGCUUGUUCUCGGCAUCUUCUUGGUGAACGUUGCUGCACUUGACUGUGUGGAGCGCUACCCAGGACUUUUACUUUGAGGAAAUUAGAGUGUUUCAAGCAGGCAUAUGCCUUGAAUACAUUAGCAUGGAAUAAUAAGAUAGGACCUCGGUUCUAUUUUGUUGGUUUCUAGAGCUGAGGUAAUGAUUAAUAGGGAUAGUUGGGGGCAUUCGUAUUUAACUGUCAGAGGUGAAAUUCUUGGAUUUGUUGAAGACGGACUACUGCGAAAGCAUCUGCCAUGGAUGUUCUCAUUGA
RNAcentral lists this ribosomal RNA (380 nucleotides) under uncultured eukaryote. RNAcentral describes it as "partial 18S ribosomal RNA". It matches the Rfam family "Eukaryotic small subunit ribosomal RNA", at positions 592 to 976 of the family's 1831-position model. The record is from RNAcentral.